This is an RNA transcript of Lotus japonicus, 2180 nucleotides long. RefSeq lists it as uncharacterized. The transcript has 5 exons. Lineage: Eukaryota; Viridiplantae; Streptophyta; Magnoliopsida; Fabales; Fabaceae. The record is from RefSeq and is a predicted model, not a curated record.
ACGCAUUUCAUUUCACCUCUCUCACAUUAUUCUUCCGUUUCUUUUCUCACCCCUUUUUCAUUCGGAUCCUUCUCCUUCUCUGAAGCUCCAUAACAAAAAAAACAUAUGACUAAGAUUCACUAGAGCAGAGUCGUGCGAGAGAGAGAGAGAGGGUCCAGCCGAAGAGAUGAGUUCGUGCGGCACUGGGUGAGACAGCGGAUCUGGUGCGAUGAAGAUGGCGUUGCUGUGAGAAGUCUGCAGAGAGGGUGAGAAACGUGAAAGACAUAAAUCAAAUUGGAAAUUGGAGAGUUCCUAUGGUUUUUUGUUUCGGACGGUGCGUUUUGUUUUCCCCCAAUCUCUGCAAUGUCCCUUCUCUUCAUUUUUCUCACUGAUUUCACUUUGUUGAAUUGGAUUCCGCUCUAUUUCAACUCAAGUGGGUAUGAUCAAUUUCCUUCUUUUCUGAAAGCUGCAAAGUCAUUUCAACCAAUGCCCCCUAUAACAUCGCCGGAUACCGUUAACGAUUUCGCCAGUUAUUCCACUGCAAUUGGGAAUCACUCUAAGAACCAACACAGUAUGUUAUGUCGCUUAUGUUACGGGCACCACUGCUUCCGCCUUUGAUUUUUUGCUCCUCCACUGUUGUGCGCCUUGGCUGGGUUCAUCUGUGUGUUAGCAAAGCCAAGCUCGCCUAGGUCUGACAAUGACCGGAAGUGGAAGGAGUAAGUGUGUUCUGUGACAGCAACGCAAGAGGUAUCACCACAGCUUUUCCUGUUAAGUGCCUCUUCUGUAAGGUUUGUUGUUGCAGACCAAGCUUCCUUUACAGUUUACAUUUCUGAUGGCAUCCAUUGCUUCUUGAUUUGUCAUUACCUUGAAUAAUUUAAUAUACAGAUGUAAGAAGUGCAAAAAUAUGGUCCAUAAGGUGUGUGCAUAGUUCAUUAUUUGUCAAAUCUUACCUUCCAUAACCCAUCACUGGCUAAUAUAACAAACUCUGCAUCAUCAUCUAUCAGCUCCACUACUAUAUAUAUGGUUCUGAGCUCAAGUGUUUCUUUAGGCUCAAGUGUUUUGAGCUCAGUUUCAACAUAUGCUCUCUUCACUACAUCUCCAAGUUCAGUCCAAGAGUCAGGCUACAUUAUGAAAAAAGAAAGGUACUAAUACCUGAGGUAUAGUUUUCUGCAUUAUUAAUUCAUCUUCACUUCAAUACUUUUUCCUGCAAGCAACACACUCAUGUCAAAAGAAGUUUCACAGAUGAAAACUCAACAAACACCGACAAUUUAUCCACCCAUGUUAGCUUCGGGACUAUUUAAGCAAGGUACUAAUAGCUAUACCCAUAUUUGUUGUUAUUAUAGUUUCAAUUUUCUAAUUGCCAUUUUCAAAUUUUGGAAAGUAUGAAAAAGUAUAAGUUGAAAUUGUCUAACACUGUUCUGUCAUCUUCUAUGUCUCUGUAGCAUUUUGAUUAACUACAAUUGAAUCACUUUUGUCGGUCCGGGGUUGACCAAGUUCAAGUCAUGGCUAUUUGGGCUUACGGUUUAUUUGGUGUUGAACUAUUCUCAUUGUAGUGUGGUUCUAAAUAUGUCUCAGAUUUUUUUAUAAUGGCAAAGCUGUGAAGUUCUAAAUAUCUUUCUCUAUUAAUUAUAUUCCCUUUCAGCUAUAUUUAAAGACUUGAUAGUAUCAUUUUCAUUUUUAUCUUAUUCUAGGAAACUCAGUCGAGAAAGUGACUUUGAAUCUGCUACAGAGACAAGCCAGCAGUCGCCAUUGUCAUGAAAGAAAAGAAAAGGGAUGCUUCUAAGACUCAAACUUUCAAUCAAAUAGAGGUACUCAAACUUUCAAUCAAGAAUGGGAAGAACAUGUGAAUUUCGCCUCUGCAUUGGCUAGCAAUUCAUUCCAAGAAUAGCUUCCUUCAACUACUCUCAGAACCGAGGGAAGUGGAACUAUUAUGCUCAAAACUACCAGCAAUCCAAUAGCACUUUCUCAUGAUGGUGCAAAUACUAAAGGGUUCUAAGUUUGAUAACAUUUCCUUGCUUUUUUCUGUCCCUCUUUUCUUUUUAAGUUGGGAGCUAGGUCUAUGUAAAUCACAUUCCUUUUUCAUUGCAAAUGAAUUGCACCCGAUGCAGAUUUCAGUUUGGAUUUCUAUUUGUUAGUUAGCUUAUGAAGGAAAUAUUCUUUGUCAUUUGUAUAUUUAUUUUCUAGCCAAUUUUGCAUAUUUC